AGCAAGCAUGACUAUGCUAACUUGAUUUGGAGCAAAGCAUUUCUUUAGAAACCUCCCUCUCUCAAUCCAUCCCUUCUCAGUCACUCUGUGUGGGGUCAUAGUCAUAUAGGCAUUAGACAGAGUAAGUCUAUAGUCUCAUGGCUUGGAAAAGUGAUUUGUUAGUGUGCACAACAUUAGAAUGUGAGACCAUGGAAGAGAUGGUUUGUUCCAUGGAGAAAGCUAAGGAAGAAGGUGCAGAUCUUGUGGAGCUUCACUUUGAUUCCAUCUCCUUCUCCCACAUUUCCCAAGUUGAACAUCUCUUGAAACAUAGACCUCUCCCUGUCAUUGUCUCUUUCAGGCUAAAUUCAGGAAGGAGUACGAGCAGAGGAUUAGGAGGAGAGUGCAAGAGCAAGACUAAAAGCAGAUGCUUUCAAGUUCUCAGACUCGCUCUCCAACUCGAUGUCGAAUUCAUCGAAAUUGAUCUUCAGGUAGCUUUUGAAGUAGGUUUAACUGAGUUUAUGAACAAUCGAUCAAAUAGCAAGAUAAUCGUAUCAAGCCAUGUGAACAGUGGGAGACCUUCAGAGGAGAAACUUGGUAACCUGAUUGCUUGCCUUCAAUCUACAGGGGCUGACGUCAUCAAACUGUUGAUUGAUGUUGUUUAUAUUACAGAUGUAGCUCCAGUUUUCCAUAUGCUCACCCAUUGUCAGGUGCCACUAAUUGCUAGAGCAGUUGGUGAUAGAGGUCUUAUAAGCCAAUUAUUGGGCCCAAAAUUUGGUGCUUUCCUAGUUUGUGGAUCUCUGGGAGGCACAUCCGUAGCUGGCUUGCCACCUCUUGUCAGCAUUAAACAAGUUUACAAGCCUGAAUAUAUCAAUGCAAAUACCAAAGUAUUUGGUCUCAUCUCAAAUCCAGUUGGCCAUAGCAAAGGCCCUCUUUUGCAUAACCCUGCCUUUAGACACACAGGAUAUAAUGGAAUUUAUGUUCCGAUGCUUGUCGAUGAUAUCACGGAAUUCUUUAGGGUCUAUUCAUGCACCGACUUUGCCGGAUUCAGUGUUGGAAUCCCGCAUAAGGAAGCAGCAGUAGAGUGCUGUGAUGAAGUCCAUCCACUUGCUAAGUCCAUAGGAGCUGUAAAUACCAUUAUAAGGAGACCUACCGAUGGGAAGCUAGUUGGUUACAAUACAGAUUGUGAGGCUUGUAUAACUGCAAUCGAGGAUGCCUUGAGAGAAAAACUAGUUACCAAUGGAGGAGCAUCACAGACCUCUCCUAUUGCCGGGAAAGUUUUUGUGUUGGUUGGAGCUGGAGGUGCUGGUAGAGCGCUGGCUUUUGGUGCAAAAAGCCGAGGGGCAAGGGUCAUCAUUUUCAACCGCAAUUAUGAGAGAGCAAAGGCACUGGCACAAGCAGUUUCUGGUGAAGCUCUGCCUUAUGAAUGUUUAGACAUGUUCCGUCAUGAGAAUGGAAUGAUUCUCGCAAAUGCUUCUGCUGUGGGCAUGCAACCAAAUAUAGAUCAAACUCCUCUUUCCAAGGAGGCAUUGGGAGCGUAUGAGCUGGUUUUUGAUGCUGUUUACACGCCUAGAAACACUCGGCUCUUACGAGAGGCUGCAGAGGUGGGAACCACAGUGGUGAGCGGAGUCGAGAUGUUCAUCAGGCAGGCUCUUGGUCAGUUCAAAUUGUUCACUGGUGGAUUAGGUAUAUCCCCUUUUGGCACAUUAUAAAUUCUCUAACAACAAUCAGUAAAUGAGUUCUGGGGUAUAAUCGAGGUGUUUCCAAGGCUACAGAAAAUGGAAGUAGGUUUUGACGAGCGAGCUUUAGCUUAGUUGAAUGUCGAGUGUGGAGAUAAUCUUGUAACCCCUUUGGACCAACAAGCAAAAAUGGAAAGCCAAUGCCAGAAGAAUUCAUGCGCAAGGUUGUUCUACAACAAUUUUGAUUUGUUCCAUCCAAUUGUGAAAUUUCCUUCUCGGCUCUGAGAUGAGGUAGUAAUGAUAUGAAUAUGUUUUAUCAGCCUCAACUGAUGAAAUUGUAGUUAGCUGUGUGCUGGUUUUAUGUUUUUUCCCCCCCCACCUGAGCCAUUGACUGUUCAAGACUAUGCAAUAGUCAUGGUUAUAGCAAAGAAUUUCAUGCAAA
Molecule: RNA transcript, 2097 nt
Organism: Camellia sinensis
Lineage: Eukaryota; Viridiplantae; Streptophyta; Magnoliopsida; Ericales; Theaceae
Gene name: bifunctional 3-dehydroquinate dehydratase/shikimate dehydrogenase, chloroplastic
Source: RefSeq, a predicted model, not a curated record